GCCCCUCUACAAAUGUAUCUAAGGUUUGAAUUGGCUUUUGGACUGUGUCUGUUGGCUUAUAUAUAUAUAUUCAGUGAAUACCUGUGCUAAUUUAUACAACCUCACCUUUUCAGGGCGCUCGUGGUCCUCCAGGAUUAGAUGGUGAACCUGGUAUCCCUGGGCAACCAGGUGACCCUGGCCCGCCUGGACAGCCAUCCACAGGACCAGAUGGAGUGGGCAGACCAUUUACAUCUCAGAUGGCAGGGUUGGAUGAAAAAUCUGGACUCUCUGGUCAAAUGGGGUUCAUGCCCGGUGCAGUGGGUCCUGUGGGUCCAAGAGGGCCUCCAGGUCUGACAGGACAACCCGUAAGUGCCCGUUAUACAAAACCUAAUACUUUGGCUGCAUUCAGAAGUAAAAAUAAAGUAGAGUUUACCCUCAUAGGAAGAACUCAUUCUG
Molecule: long non-coding RNA, 435 nt
Filed under: Pogona vitticeps (central bearded dragon)
Lineage: Eukaryota; Metazoa; Chordata; Lepidosauria; Squamata; Agamidae
Description: lncRNA (ENSPVIG00000001318.1)
Source: RNAcentral